This 595-nucleotide unclassified non-coding RNA is filed under the name Malassezia sympodialis. Its description in RNAcentral is "sequence contains 18S rRNA gene, ITS1, 5.8S rRNA gene, ITS2, 28S rRNA gene". The stretch from base 211 to 364 matches the Rfam family "5.8S ribosomal RNA". The record is from RNAcentral. Lineage: Eukaryota; Fungi; Basidiomycota; Malasseziomycetes; Malasseziales; Malasseziaceae.
AGUCGUAACAAGGUUUCUGUAGGUGAACCUGCAGAAGGAUCAUUAGUGAAAGUUUCGGGCCUGCCAUACGGACGCAAACACGUCUCUGGCGCCCACUCACUAUAUCCAUACCAACCCCUGUGCACUGUGAUGACGAAUGUCAUCGAACAAAAAAAAACUCGUAUGGUUGAAUGUACGUGAAAUUGUAGGUAUAGCCUACGAACUAUACACAACUUUCGACAACGGAUCUCUUGGUUCUCCCAUCGAUGAAGAACGCAGCGAAACGCGAUAGGUAAUGUGAAUUGCAGAAUUCCGUGAAUCAUCGAAUCUUUGAACGCACCUUGCGCUCCAUGGUAUUCCGUGGAGCAUGCCUGUUUGAGUGCCGCGAAUUCUCCCUCCCCUUACGGUGGCCGAAAGGCCGAAGUAGGGCGGACGGGGUAGGAUGGGUGUUUGCUGCCUGGGGAUUGUACCAGGCUCGCCCGAAAUGCAUAAGCGCCAGGACCCUCGCUACCGCUCUCUAGGGAAGAGUGGCUAAGCGACCGCUGAGCAUGGCAUGAUACGUCAUUUGCUGUGUGUGGGCGGCCGGUUGGAGAGGUGUCUGCUUUACCAGCCCUAU